Molecule: ribosomal RNA, 1415 nt
Filed under: Bacillus subtilis
Lineage: Bacteria; Bacillati; Bacillota; Bacilli; Caryophanales; Bacillaceae
Description: bacterial SSU rRNA
Rfam family: Bacterial small subunit ribosomal RNA
Source: RNAcentral
GCGGACGGGUGAUAACUUUUGGAAACCUGCCUGUAAGACUGGGAUAACUCCGGGAAACCGGGGCUAAUACCGGAUGGUUGUUUGAACCGCAUGAUUCAAACAUAAAAGGUGGCUUCGGCUACCACUUACAGAUGGACCCGCGGCGCAUUAGCUAGUUGGUGAGGUAACGGCUCACCAAGGCGACGAUGCGUAUCCGACCUGAGAGGGUGAUCGGCCACACUGGGACUGAGACACGGCCCAGACUCCUUCGGGAGGCAGCAGUAGGGAAUCUUCCGCAAUGGACGAAAGUCUGACGGAGCAACGCCGCGUGAGUGAUGAAGGUUUUCGGAUCGUAAAGCUCUGUUGUUAGGGAAAAACAAGUGCCGUUCAAAUAGGGCGGUACCUUGACGGUACCUAACCAUAAAGCCACGGCUAACUACGUGCCAGCAGCCGCGGUAAUACGUAAGUGGGAAUCGUUGUCCGGAAUUAUUGGGCGUAAAGGGCUCGCAGGCGGUUUCUUAAGUCUGAUGUGAAAGCCCCCGGCUCAACCGGGGAGGGUCAUUGGAAACUGGGGAACUUGAGUGCUGAAUAGGAGAGUGGAAUUCCACGGGCAGCGGGGAAAUGCCCCACAGAUGUGGACGGAACACCAUUGGCGAAGGGCGACUCCCCUGCCCCUGUAACUGACGCUGAUGAUCGAUAGCAAAGUGUGGAGCGCGCACAAUUAAGAUAUCCCGUUAGUGCACGCGGUGUACGAUAAGUGUUAUAAGUGAGGGGGGAUUCCCCCCCUAUAGUUGCACAUAUAACACUAAGCACUCUCCGCGUGGAGAGCACUGUCACAAGUGAAAAUCUCAGAAAAUGUCGGGGGGCCGCACAAGAGGGGGGGCAUGUGGUGUUUUAUUAAAAACCACGAAGAGCCCUUUCAGGUGUUGACAUCUUCUGUCACUCUUAGAGAUAUGGGGUCCCCCUUUGGGGCAGAGAGUCACAGGGGGCAUAGUUUUCUUCUCAUCUUGUGUUGAGAGAUUUGGGUAAGUGUCCCACCGAGAGCGCCCCCUGAUAUUAUUGUCCACCACACAGAGGGGCGCUCUAAGGGGUGUCUCGGGGUCACACCGGAGGAAGGGGGGGAGAUCGUCUCAUCUCCUCACCCCUUAUAACCCGGGGUACACACGUGUUAUACAAGGCACAGCACAGGGCACAGAAACCGCGAGAGUAAAACACUAUCCCACAUAUGUUUUCAGUUUGGGUAGCACUGUGCACAUCGAGUGUGUGAAAAGGUAAUAUCUAUUAUUAUCGGAGCACCACACCCCGGGGAAUAUGUUUCCGGGCCCGGUGCACACCGCCCGUCUCACCCCGAGAGAUUGUGUCACCCGAAAAGGGGGAGAUAUCCCUUUAGGAGACACAGGCCGAAGAGGGGGCACAUAAGAGUGGGAAUCCCAGAG